RNAcentral lists this ribosomal RNA (465 nucleotides) under uncultured bacterium. RNAcentral describes it as "partial 16S ribosomal RNA". It matches the Rfam family "Bacterial small subunit ribosomal RNA", at positions 338 to 795 of the family's 1533-position model. The record is from RNAcentral.
CCUACGGGAGGCAGCAGUGGGGAAUAUUGCGCAAUGGGCGAAAGCCUGACGCAGCGACGCCGCGUGAGGGAUGAAGGUCUUCGGAUCGUAAACCUCUGUCAGCAGGGAAGAACGGUCACUGUGCUAAUCAGCAGUGAAUUGACGGUACCUGCAAAGGAAGCACCGGCUAACUCCGUGCCAGCAGCCGCGGUAAUACGGAGGGUGCGAGCGUUAAUCGGAAUUACUUGGCGUAAAGCGCUCGUGGGCGGUAAGUCAAGGCAAGGGGUAAAUCCUCGGGCGCAACGGUGGAAGUGCCUUUGAAACUGGCAAACUGGAGUGUGUGAGAGGAUAGUGGAAUUCCAGGUGUAGGAGUGAAAUGCGUAGAUAUCUGGAAGAACAUCAAUGGCGAAGGCGACUAUCUGGCACAUAACUGACGCUGAGGAGCGAAAGCGUGGGUAGCAAACAGGAUUAGAUACCCGUGUAGUC